This 1966-nucleotide long non-coding RNA is filed under the name Salvia miltiorrhiza (redroot sage). RNAcentral's name for it is "long non-coding RNA (SMIL_LNC006466)". The record is from RNAcentral. Lineage: Eukaryota; Viridiplantae; Streptophyta; Magnoliopsida; Lamiales; Lamiaceae.
UAGCAUAUGAUAAGUAAUUACUUAAAAUAUGCACUUAAUAAUAAUAUAAUAUUAUUAUGCAAAUCAUCUUUAAAAUAAUUAAUCAAACUAAUUAUAGUCAAAUUAAUUAAAUAGUGAGUCCAUUUAAUGAAGAAGCUGCAAGUCCAAUUGAAUAAAUUUAGGGCUCAAGGAAAUAAAUAAAACAUUAACCCAUUUGAAAAUUUAAAACAAAAAUCGGCCCAAAUAAGGAGCCCAACUGAAGAAUUAAAACAAAGAAAUCAGCCCAACUCAAAGCCCAACAUUUUCCUUUUAAAAAUAAAAUCGGCCCAAGUGGUUAAGCCCAAAUAAGGAGCCCACACUCAAGACCCUAGCCCAUUUAUCACCCUUCUUCAACCUAACACACGCACACACUCUCUUCUCUCUCUCAAGCGGCUGAUCCAUCGUCUCUCUCUCCCUCUCGAAAUCACCCCCUUCUCCCUCAUCCUCACCCAUCCAAAUCUAGCCGCCGCGGCUCCUUCCGGCGAGGCAGCCGUCGACCGACCUCCGACUCCCAUCUCUCUCUCUCCUGGGUCUGAUCGGCAGCAGCUGAGCCGCCGCCGACGCUCCUCCCUCUCCUCGGCUCAACCUUGGCCGAUGGUACCGCCAUUGCCGCCCUCAAAUUCCCAGCGAGUAGCAGCCACCAAACUGCCACCACCGCCGCCGUCGUUCUCCGUUCAGCGACUGGUCGCCGCCCGUCGACUCACCACAUCAUCUUCCUCUCUCCUUUACUUCGGUUCCGCUAGAAAUCCACCACCGCGGUUCUACCUCCGGCGAUAGCAGCCACAGCCGCCACCGCUCCUCCCUCUCUAUCUCUGAAUCAGUCCGGCGACAACACAAGCCACCAUCACCGACACUCCCUCGUUCCCGGCGAGGAGCGCCGCCUGCUUCCUCGGCUCUCCCUUCACUCUCUCUCAUCUCCUUCUACCCUUCGCAACGUCAAGGCGCUGCUGCCCCCCUGCAACUGCCCUAGGUUCCCAAAAUCAGACGCCACCCUUUCCUGUCUAUACCACUCAGUUUUCCGGCGACAGUAUAGCUACCAGGCCACUGCCGCCGUUCUCUCAUCCCUCUGCUCAACUCCGGUCGAUAGCAGCAGCCAAUCAGCUGCCACUAUCGCCGCCGUCUGCUGGCCCGACAACCCACUCGGACUAAAACAGGACACGCGCAACAUGAAACCAAGAUUUCUCCAAUUUGUUGUAUUCAAAACAGGGAGCAAGAUUUGAUUUUUCUUUGCUUUUGAUUAUCUAGAUUCAUGGCUUUGUUUGAAAAUAUAGAAUAUUAGAUGAAUUCUCUUAUUCAUUCUAUGCACACGAAUAUAUAUACACACAUGAGUGAAUGAGUUGCUUUCAUUUGAUUGAGUGUGUUUGGUUAGUGCUCUGUGAAACAAGAAGAGAUGUGCUUGAAUGAAAAGUAAAAUAAAGUUGAGAUAAACCUUAUAGUGUUCUGUGUAGGAACGAAUCUGAUGUUGAACUUCUGGAGAUAGAGAUGUGCAUUGAAUUUCUUCCUUGCGAGAAAGAGAUUGUGAAAGAUUUUGUGAAAUAAGGUAGGAAUAAAUUGAUUUGAGCAUAGGAUAUGGCUUUGCGGACAAGAGUGAGUGUAAAGUGGGUGGAAAGAGUGGGUGUAGGUGGGUGUGAAUGAAUUAAAGUUGCAGGGAAAGUGUCGUUGGUGGAAAAUAAAGAGUGUGAGUGGAAAUAGGUGGGUGGGUGGAAGACAAAAGUAACGUGUGAGUGGAAAUAGGUGGGAGUAGUGGGAGGAAUAAAAUAAUAAAAUAAAAAAUAUUUCGGGUUGUACUAUGAAAACUGUAAUAAUUCUUCAGUGUUUGCUUAAAUAAAAGCUCGUGAAAAUGCUUUGAAUGCUAAAUUAAAUAAAUAUGCAAUGCAUAUAAAUUCAAUAACUACAUUUACAAAUGUUUUUGUAAAUCAUUUUUGUUGGAAUUAAAAAUAAAUUCUUU